GCCCCAGACAAAGGCAGUUUGGGGGAGAACGGCCGCCCAAGCAGUAGCCAGAGGCCCUGCUGCCUCAGGAGGGCUCUGCCCACUCAUGCCAGUGCUCCCAGGAGCAGGAAGAGCUGAGGAACACACACUGGAGCCAGGCUGUUCUAAGAGCUCUCAGUGCCUUGUCUUACAUUUUCAUUAAGCUUCGGAGCUGGGGUUGUGGCAAAAAUCUUCUUCAUCAACCAAUCUCUGAUUUCAUCCUGAAGAGAAGAAAGCGAGCAUAUGCCUCAUUCAGCCAAUGCUUCCCUACGAGAAAGCCACAGUUUGAGAAAGUUGACACAACUGGAGCCAUAUUGCUAACCAAUGGAGAAGC
RNAcentral lists this long non-coding RNA (352 nucleotides) under Heterocephalus glaber (naked mole-rat). Its description in RNAcentral is "lncRNA (ENSHGLG00100034336.1)". The record is from RNAcentral. Lineage: Eukaryota; Metazoa; Chordata; Mammalia; Rodentia; Bathyergidae.